CCUGNCCGGUGACAAUAAGUUUAACGGCCGCGGUAUUUUAACCGUGCUAAGGUAGCGUAAUCACUUGUCUUUUAAAUGAAGACCCGUAUGAAAGGUGUCACGAGGGCCCCCCUGUCUCCUACUUCAAGUCUGUGAAAUUGAUCUACCCGUGCAGAAGCGGGUAUAAGAACAUAAGACGAGAAGACCCUGUGGAGCUUAAGACUAACCAACCAAUCGUGCCUAACAGCCUAUCCCCCUAAUAGGAAAUAAAAAGCUAAACAAGCAUAACGACCUGUGAUUGUAACUGUCUUCGGUUGGGGCGACCGUGGGGGAUAAAAAAGCCUCCAAGAGGAAACAGGGGACCAGUUCAACCGAUCCCUAAGAGCCAAGAGCCACCGCUCUAAGCAACAGAAAACUCUGACCAAUAAUGAUCCAGGCAUUAGCCUGAUCAACGAACCAAGUUACCCCAGGGAUAACAGCGCAAUCCUUUCCAAGAGCCCAUAUCGCCGAAAGGGUUUACGACCUCGAUGUUGGAUCAGGACAUCCUGGUGGCGAAAAUUCUACCAAGGGUUCGUU
RNAcentral lists this ribosomal RNA (555 nucleotides) under Brienomyrus sp. Its description in RNAcentral is "partial 16S ribosomal RNA". It matches the Rfam family "Bacterial large subunit ribosomal RNA", at positions 1858 to 2577 of the family's 2925-position model. The record is from RNAcentral. Lineage: Eukaryota; Metazoa; Chordata; Actinopteri; Osteoglossiformes; Mormyridae.